Molecule: long non-coding RNA, 370 nt
Organism: Daphnia pulicaria
Lineage: Eukaryota; Metazoa; Arthropoda; Branchiopoda; Diplostraca; Daphniidae
Exons: 2
Source: RefSeq, a predicted model, not a curated record
UCCAGUUGACGGGAACGCCAGUCUUCAAGGGAACCGUUAGAGCAACAGUCCGUGUCGCCUUGAAUCUGAAAGAAGCCAAAGAAAUCCAGAACGGAGACAUCCUCAUCACGCGGAGCACAGACAUUGGAUGUAGUCCGUAUUUCCCGUUGUUGUCUGUCGUCGUGACGGAGCUCGGUGGCCUGAUUUCUCAUGGAGCUGUUCUGGCCCGAGAAUAUGGUUUACCGGCUAUCGUUGGUUGCCAGAAAGUAACGCAAGUUUUCCGUUCUGGUGUUAUCGUUAUCCUUGAUGGAGCAAAGGAACCAUGGCACGCGUGGAAGCAUAAAAUUAACACAGCUAAAAUUUGGUCUUGUCAUCCAAAAUUUUACAAGGG